UGGGGAAUUUUGGACAAUGGGCGAAAGCCUGAUCCAGCAAUGCCGCGUGUGUGAAGAAGGCCUUCGGGUUGUAAAGCACUUUUGUCCGGAAAGAAAUCCUUGGCUCUAAUACAGUCGGGGGAUGACGGUACCGGAAGAAUAAGCACCGGCUAACUACGUGCCAGCAGCCGCGGUAAUACGUAGGGUGCAAGCGUUAAUCGGAAUUACUGGGCGUAAAGCGUGCGCAGGCGGUUUGCUAAGACCGAUGUGAAAUCCCCGGGCUCAACCUGGGAACUGCAUUGGUGACUGGCAGGCUAGAGUAUGGCAGAGGGGGGUAGAAUUCCACGUGUAGCAGUGAAAUGCGUAGAGAUGUGGAGGAAUACCGAUGGCGAAGGCAGCCCCCUGGGCCAAUACUGACGCUCAUGCACGAAAGCGUGGGGAGCAAACAGGAUUAGAUACCCUGGUAGUCCACGCCCUAAACGAUGUCAACUAGUUGUUGGGGGAUUCAUUUCCUUAGUAACGUAGCUAACGCGUGAAGUUGACCGCCUGGGGAGUACGGUCGCAAGAUUAAAACUCAAAGGAAUUGAC
RNAcentral lists this ribosomal RNA (567 nucleotides) under uncultured bacterium. RNAcentral's name for it is "partial 16S ribosomal RNA". It matches the Rfam family "Bacterial small subunit ribosomal RNA", at positions 355 to 914 of the family's 1533-position model. The record is from RNAcentral.